GAGCCGGUGGCGAAUUGUAUCGCGCCAGCUCCACCGGUGGAGCAUCGAGGAGGGAGCAAGGGAGCGGGAAGUCCUGGUUCGAGUCCAGGCUGGGUCG
This is a non-coding RNA of Mycena capillaripes, 97 nucleotides long. NCBI's taxonomy places the organism in Eukaryota, Fungi, Basidiomycota, Agaricomycetes, Agaricales, Mycenaceae. The record is from the annotation of a GenBank genome assembly.